RNAcentral lists this ribosomal RNA (253 nucleotides) under uncultured bacterium. Its description in RNAcentral is "partial 16S ribosomal RNA". It matches the Rfam family "Bacterial small subunit ribosomal RNA", at positions 524 to 776 of the family's 1533-position model. The record is from RNAcentral.
UACAGAGGUCUCAAGCGUUGUUCGGAUUCAUUGGGCGUAAAGGGUGCGUAGGUGGUGAUGCAAGUCUGGUGUGAAAUCUCGGAGCUCAACUCCGAAAUUGCACCGGAUACUGCGUGACUCGAGGACUGUAGAGGAGAUCGGAAUUCACGGUGUAGCAGUGAAAUGCGUAGAUAUCGAGAGGAACACCUGCGGCGAAGGCGGGUUGCUGGGCUGACACUGACGCUGAUGCGCGAAAGCCAGGGGAGCGAACGGG